RNAcentral lists this ribosomal RNA (549 nucleotides) under Triticum aestivum (bread wheat). Its description in RNAcentral is "partial small subunit ribosomal RNA". The record is from RNAcentral. Lineage: Eukaryota; Viridiplantae; Streptophyta; Magnoliopsida; Poales; Poaceae.
AUGGUUACCUCCACGCCAAGUACCACGACCCACAAGACCGAGAAUGCCAAGAACCCCUUCGAACUAUCAAGACCGCAGGACCACGCGGAUGACUACCGCACCGGAAUGUCAAGUACCUCUGCCGAAGACUCCCACCGAAGACACGUGUACGACUACUACAUAAACGAGUACCGAACGAAUCACCAAGACCUACGAGAACGACUUCGUGGACCGACAAGUACCAUGACGUCCGUCGAUCGCCAAGUACCCCUUCGGAUACGCAAGUUCCUCGAAGGUCCACCGAGGCCUAGUACGACUACAGGACCGGAACGAAGUACCACGAUGACCAUUGACAUGUACCACUACACCACACCAAAACGUCAAGACCGUCCCGGAUAUUGCCAAGUACCACUUCGGUUUCGAAACGCGACGAGUACCACGACUACCCACGAGGACCUUGGUUCCAUCAAGUUCGACUACCACGUGUGUACAACUACCGCCGCCGUGAGUUUCGACAAGACGUCGUGUGGCUCUAUUUCUACUACCGUCCCGGUGAUCACAGAUGAAUGA